AUUGAACGCUGGCGGCAGGCCUAACACAUGCAAGUCGAACGAGUGGCCGACGGGUGAGUAAUGUCUGGGAAACUGCUUGAUGGAGGGGGCUCCCUACUGGAAACGGUAGCUAAUACCGCAUACCAUCGGUGGUCCCCAGAUGGGAUUAGCUAGUAGGUGGGUUAAAGGCUCACCUAGGCGACGAUCCCUAGCUGGUCUGAGAGGUUGACCAGCCACACUGGAACUGAGACACGGUCCAGACUCCUAGGGGAGGCAGCAGUGGGGAAUAUUGCACAAGGGGCGCAAGCCUGAGGCCGCCAGGCCGCGUGUAUGAAGAAGGCCGUCGGGUUGUAAAUUACGUUCAGCGGGGAGGCGUUACCCGCAGAAGAAGCACCGGCGAACUGCGUGCCAGCCGCCGCGGUAAUAC
This 406-nucleotide ribosomal RNA is filed under the name uncultured bacterium. RNAcentral's name for it is "partial 16S ribosomal RNA". It matches the Rfam family "Bacterial small subunit ribosomal RNA", at positions 30 to 526 of the family's 1533-position model. The record is from RNAcentral.